AACGAACGCUGGCGGCGUGCCUAACACAUGCAAGUCGAACGUGAUUGGAAGCUUGCUUCCAUGAAAGUGGCGCACGGGUGAGUAACGCGUAGAUAAUCUACCUGAUGAUCCGGGAUAACAGUUCGAAAGGACUGCUAAUACCUGAUAAGCUCACGGAGUCUUCGGAUUCUGCGGGAAAAGGAGGGGACCUUUGGGCCUUCCGUCAUCAGAUGAGUCUGCGUACCAUUAGCUAGUUGGUAGGGUAAAGGCCUACCAAGGCGACGAUGGUCAGCUGGUCUGAGAGGAUUAUCAGCCACACUGGAACUGAGACACGGUCCAGACUCCUACGGGAGGCAGCAGUGGGGAAUUUUGCGCAAUGGGGGAAACCCUGACGCAGCAACGCCGCGUGAGUGAUGAAGGCCCUUGGGUCGUAAAGCUCUGACAGAGGGAAAGAAAUGUAGAGGGGCUAAUAUCCCCAUUACUUGACGGUACCCUCAAAGGAAGCACCGGCUAACUCCGUG
This 500-nucleotide ribosomal RNA is filed under the name uncultured bacterium. Its description in RNAcentral is "bacterial SSU rRNA". It matches the Rfam family "Bacterial small subunit ribosomal RNA", at positions 29 to 507 of the family's 1533-position model. The record is from RNAcentral.